This 253-nucleotide ribosomal RNA is filed under the name uncultured bacterium. Its description in RNAcentral is "partial 16S ribosomal RNA". It matches the Rfam family "Bacterial small subunit ribosomal RNA", at positions 524 to 776 of the family's 1533-position model. The record is from RNAcentral.
UACGUAGGGCGCAAGCGUUGUCCGGAAUUAUUGGGCGUAAAGAGCUCGUAGGCGGUUUGUCGCGUCUGCUGUGAAAACCUAAGGCUCAACCUUGGGCUUGCAGUGGGUACGGGCAGACUAGAGUGCGGUAGGGGAGACUGGAAUUCCUGGUGUAGCGGUGGAAUGCGCAGAUAUCAGGAGGAACACCGAUGGCGAAGGCAGGUCUCUGGGCCACUACUGACGCUGAGAAGCGAAAGCAUGGGGAGCGAACCGG